RNAcentral lists this ribosomal RNA (1887 nucleotides) under Shigella sonnei. Its description in RNAcentral is "partial 23S ribosomal RNA". It matches the Rfam family "Bacterial large subunit ribosomal RNA", at positions 313 to 2188 of the family's 2925-position model. The record is from RNAcentral. Lineage: Bacteria; Pseudomonadati; Pseudomonadota; Gammaproteobacteria; Enterobacterales; Enterobacteriaceae.
UGAAUCAGUGUGUGUGUUAGUGGAAGCGUCUGGAAAGGCGCGCGAUACAGGGUGACAGCCCCGUACACAAAAAUGCACAUAUUGUGAGCUCGAUGAGUAGGGCGGGACACGUGGUAUCCUGUCUGAAUAUGGGGGGCCCAUCCUCCAAGGCUAAAUACUCCUGACUGACCGAUAGUGAACCAGUACCGUGAGGGAAAGGCGAAAAGAACCCCGGCGAGGGGAGUGAAAAAGAACCUGAAACCGUGUACGUACAAGCAGUGGGAGCACGCUUAGGCGUGUGACUGCGUACCUUUUGUAUAAUGGGUCAGCGACUUAUAUUCUGUAGCAAGGUUAACCGAAUAGGGGAGCCGAAGGGAAACCGAGUCUUAACUGGGCGUUAAGUUGCAGGGUAUAGACCCGAAACCCGGUGAUCUAGCCAUGGGCAGGUUGAAGGUUGGGUAACACUAACUGGAGGACCGAACCGACUAAUGUUGAAAAAUUAGCGGAUGACUUGUGGCUGGGGGUGAAAGGCCAAUCAAACCGGGAGAUAGCUGGUUCUCCCCGAAAGCUAUUUAGGUAGCGCCUCGUGAAUUCAUCUCCGGGGGUAGAGCACUGUUUCGGCAAGGGGGUCAUCCCGACUUACCAACCCGAUGCAAACUGCGAAUACCGGAGAAUGUUAUCACGGGAGACACACGGCGGGUGCUAACGUCCGUCGUGAAGAGGGAAACAACCCAGACCGCCAGCUAAGGUCCCAAAGUCAUGGUUAAGUGGGAAACGAUGUGGGAAGGCCCAGACAGCCAGGAUGUUGGCUUAGAAGCAGCCAUCAUUUAAAGAAAGCGUAAUAGCUCACUGGUCGAGUCGGCCUGCGCGGAAGAUGUAACGGGGCUAAACCAUGCACCGAAGCUGCGGCAGCGACGCUUAUGCGUUGUUGGGUAGGGGAGCGUUCUGUAAGCCUGCGAAGGUGUGCUGUGAGGCAUGCUGGAGGUAUCAGAAGUGCGAAUGCUGACAUAAGUAACGAUAAAGCGGGUGAAAAGCCCGCUCGCCGGAAGACCAAGGGUUCCUGUCCAACGUUAAUCGGGGCAGGGUGAGUCGACCCCUAAGGCGAGGCCGAAAGGCGUAGUCGAUGGGAAACAGGUUAAUAUUCCUGUACUUGGUGUUACUGCGAAGGGGGGACGGAGAAGGCUAUGUUGGCCGGGCGACGGUUGUCCCGGUUUAAGCGUGUAGGCUGGUUUUCCAGGCAAAUCCGGAAAAUCAAGGCUGAGGCGUGAUGACGAGGCACUACGGUGCUGAAGCAACAAAUGCCCUGCUUCCAGGAAAAGCCUCUAAGCAUCAGGUAACAUCAAAUCGUACCCCAAACCGACACAGGUGGUCAGGUAGAGAAUACCAAGGCGCUUGAGAGAACUCGGGUGAAGGAACUAGGCAAAAUGGUGCCGUAACUUCGGGAGAAGGCACGCUGAUAUGUAGGUGAAGUCCCUUGCGGAUGGAGCUGAAAUCAGUCGAAGAUACCAGCUGGCUGCAACUGUUUAUUAAAAACACAGCACUGUGCAAACACGAAAGUGGACGUAUACGGUGUGACGCCUGCCCGGUGCCGGAAGGUUAAUUGAUGGGGUCAGCGCAAGCGAAGCUCUUGAUCGAAGCCCCGGUAAACGGCGGCCGUAACUAUAACGGUCCUAAGGUAGCGAAAUUCCUUGUCGGGUAAGUUCCGACCUGCACGAAUGGCGUAAUGAUGGCCAGGCUGUCUCCACCCGAGACUCAGUGAAAUUGAACUCGCUGUGAAGAUGCAGUGUACCCGCGGCAAGACGGAAAGACCCCGUGAACCUUUACUAUAGCUUGACACUGAACAUUGAGCCUUGAUGUGUAGGAUAGGUGGGAGGCUUUGAAGUGUGGACGCCAGUCUGCAUGGAGCCG